RNAcentral lists this ribosomal RNA (626 nucleotides) under uncultured bacterium. Its description in RNAcentral is "bacterial SSU rRNA". The stretch from base 1 to 530 matches the Rfam family "Bacterial small subunit ribosomal RNA", at positions 338 to 873 of the family's 1533-position model. The record is from RNAcentral.
CCUACGGGAGGCAGCAGUAACGAAUCUUCCGCAAUGCGCGAAAGCGUGACGGGGUAAUGCCGCGUGCAGGAUGAAGCCCUUCGGGGUGUAAACUGCUGUCAGGGGUUAGGAAUUUCAUGACCAGCCCCAAAGGAAGAGCCGGCUAACUCUGUGCCAGCAGCCGCGGUAAUACAGAGGGCUCGAGCGUUAAUCGGAAUCACUGGGCUUAAAGCGUGCGUAGGCGGAUCUUCAGGCCUGUUGUGAAAUCCCACGGCUCAACCGUGGAAUUGCGAUAGGAACCGGAGAUCUUGAGUCAGGUAGAGGCGGGUGGAACGAUAGGUGGAGCGGUGAAAUGCGUAGAUAUCUAUCGGAACGCCAAAGGAGAAGUCAGCCCGCUGGGCCUGUUCUGACGCUGAGGCACGAAAGCGUGGGUAGCAAACGGGAUUAGAUACCCGGUAGUCCACGCCGUAAACGAUAGCGCACUAGACUAGAGGGGACGGUGUACGCUUUCUUCUAGUCGUAGACGAAAAGUAGUACUAAGUAGCGCCGCCGUCGGGGAGGUACGGUCGGCGAAGAAGUUAAAACGUUAAAAGGUAAAGUUAGUUACGGACGUGAGAGUAGCCGACGGACGACGACGAGGGAGGAGG